UUCCGUCGGGGGAGCGGCCUGUGCGACAUCAGGUAGUUGGUGAGGUAACGGCUCACCAAGCCUAAGACGUCUAGGGGGUGUGAGAGCAUGGCCCCCACCACUGGGACUGAGAUACUGCCCAGACACCUACGGGUGGCUGCAGUCGAGAAUCUUCGGCAAUGCGCGCAAGCGUGACCGAGCGACGCCGCGUGCGGGAUGAAGGCCUUCGGGUUGUAAACCGCUGUCGGGGGGGAUGAAAUGCAUGGGAGCAAUCUCCUGUGUUUGACAGAGCCCCGGAGGAAGCGCGGGCUAAGUUCGUGCCAGCAGCCGCGGUAAUACGAACUGCGCGAACGUUAUUCGGAUUCACUGGGCUUAAAGGGUGCGUAGGCGGUCUGUUAAGCAGGGUGUGAAAUUUUUCGGCUCAACCGGAAAAGUGCAUUCUGUACUGGCGGACUGGAGUUGGUCAGGGGUGUGUGGAACUGCCAGUGGAGCGGUGAAAUGUGUUGAUAUUGGCAGGAACGCCGGUGGCGAAAGCGACACACUGGGGCCGUACUGACGCUGAGGCACGAAAGCCAGGGGAGCAAACGGGAUUAGAU
RNAcentral lists this ribosomal RNA (575 nucleotides) under uncultured bacterium. Its description in RNAcentral is "bacterial SSU rRNA". It matches the Rfam family "Bacterial small subunit ribosomal RNA", at positions 213 to 783 of the family's 1533-position model. The record is from RNAcentral.